RNAcentral lists this ribosomal RNA (1414 nucleotides) under uncultured bacterium. RNAcentral's name for it is "16S ribosomal RNA". It matches the Rfam family "Bacterial small subunit ribosomal RNA". The record is from RNAcentral.
AUGCCUUACACAUGCAAGUCGAACGGCAGCAUGAUCUAGCUUGCUAGAUUGAUGGCGAGUGGCGAACGGGUGAGUAAUACAUCGGAACGUGCCCUGUAGUGGGGGAUAACUAGUCGAAAGAUUAGCUAAUACCGCAUACGACCUGAGGGUGAAAGUGGGGGACCGCAAGGCCUCAUGCUAUAGGAGCGGCCGAUGUCUGAUUAGCUAGUUGGUGAGGUAAAGGCUCACCAAGGCGACGAUCAGUAGCUGGUCUGAGAGGACGAUCAGCCACACUGGGACUGAGACACGGCCCAGACUCCUACGGGAGGCAGCAGUGGGGAAUUUUGGACAAUGGGGGCAACCCUGAUCCAGCAAUGCCGCGUGUGUGAAGAAGGCCUUCGGGUUGUAAAGCACUUUUGUCCGGAAAGAAAUCGCACUUACUAAUAUUAGGUGUGGAUGACGGUACCGGAAGAAUAAGGACCGGCUAACUACGUGCCAGCAGCCGCGGUAAUACGUAGGGUCCAAGCGUUAAUCGGAAUUACUGGGCGUAAAGCGUGCGCAGGCGGUUGUGCAAGACCGAUGUGAAAUCCCCGGGCUUAACCUGGGAAUUGCAUUGGUGACUGCACGGCUAGAGUGUGUCAGAGGGGGGUAAAAUUCCACGUGUAGCAGUGAAAUGCGUAGAGAUGUGGAGGAAUACCGAUGGCGAAGGCAGCCCCCUGGGAUAACACUGACGCUCAUGCACGAAAGCGUGGGGAGCAAACAGGAUUAGAUACCCUGGUAGUCCACGCCCUAAACGAUGUCAACUAGUUGUUGGGGAUUCAUUUCCUUAGUAACGUAGCUAACGCGUGAAGUUGACCGCCUGGGGAGUACGGUCGCAAGAUUAAAACUCAAAGGAAUUGACGGGGACCCGCACAAGCGGUGGAUGAUGUGGAUUAAUUCGAUGCAACGCGAAAAACCUUACCUACCCUUGACAUGCCACUAACGAAGCAGAGAUGCAUUAGGUGCUCGAAAGAGAAAGUGGACACAGGUGCUGCACGGCUGUCGUCAGCUCGUGUCGUGAGAUGUUGGGUUAAGUCCCGCAACGAGCGCAACUCUUGUCUCUAGUUGCUACGAAAGGGCACUCUAGAGAGACUGCCGGUGACAAACCGGAGGAAGGUGGGGAUGACGUCAAGUCCUCAUGGCCCUUAUGGGUAGGGCUUCACACGUCAUACAAUGGUGCAUACAGAGGGUUGCCAAGCCGCGAGGUGGAGCUAAUCCCAGAAAAUGCAUCGUAGUCCGGAUCGUAGUCUGCAACUCGACUACGUGAAGCUGGAAUCGCUAGUAAUCGCGGAUCAGCAUGCCGCGGUGAAUACGUUCCCGGGUCUUGUACACACCGCCCGUCACACCAUGGGAGUGGGUUUUGCCAGAAGUAGUUAGCCUAACCGCAAGGGGGGCG